CCUACGGGUGGCAGCAGUCGAGAAUCAUUCACAAUGGGGGAAACCCUGAUGGUGCGACGCCGCGUGGGGGACUGAAGGUCUUCGGAUUGUAAACCCCUGUCAUGUGGGAGCAAAUUAAAAAGAUAGUACCACAAGAGGAAGAGACGGCUAACUCUGUGCCAGCAGCCGCGGUACUACAGAGGUCUCAAGCGUUGUUCGGAAUCACGGGGCGUAAAGCGUGCGUAGGCUGUUUCGUAAGUCGUGUGUGAAAGGCGCGGGCUCAACCCGAGGACGGCACAUGAUACUGCGAGACUAGAGUAAUGGAGGGGGAACCGGAAUUCUCGGUGUAGCAGUGAAAUGCGUAGAUAUCGGGAGGAACACUCGUGGCGAAGGCGGGUUCCUGGACAUUAACUGACGCUGAGGCACGAAGGCCAGGGGAGCGAAAGGGAUUAGAUACCCGUGUAGUC
RNAcentral lists this ribosomal RNA (446 nucleotides) under uncultured bacterium. RNAcentral's name for it is "partial 16S ribosomal RNA". It matches the Rfam family "Bacterial small subunit ribosomal RNA", at positions 338 to 795 of the family's 1533-position model. The record is from RNAcentral.